RNAcentral lists this ribosomal RNA (254 nucleotides) under uncultured bacterium. Its description in RNAcentral is "partial 16S ribosomal RNA". It matches the Rfam family "Bacterial small subunit ribosomal RNA", at positions 524 to 776 of the family's 1533-position model. The record is from RNAcentral.
GACGAACCGUGCGAACGUUAUUCGAAAUCACUGGGCUUAAAGCGCGUGUAGGCGGCUAAGCAAGUCUGAGGUGAAAUCCUAUCGGCUCAACCGUAGAACUGCCCCAGAUACUGCUUGGCUUGAGGGAGGUAGGGGCCUGUGGAACCUAUGGUGGAGCGGUGAAAUGUGUUGAUAUCAUAGGGAACGCCGGUGGCGAAAGCGACAGGCUGGGUCUCCUCUGACGCUGAGACGCGAAAGCUAGGGUAGCGAACGGG